AGGGUAUCUUGGCUGACCUCCAGAAACAAGUCUAGGAUGCUUGAAUCAGAAUCUCCAUUUGUAUACGACACGUGACAUCUGGUCUACCUGGUGUAAUGUAGACUCGGGGAAAUUUCCUGGAGGGGACACCAGCGUCGGUGAAGAUUCAGAAGUUUUGUUUUUGUUUUUCUCGUUUUUUUUUUGAUCAGUGCUAAUCUUCGAUACUCGAAGGAGAGGUUGUCCGUGUUGUCUUCUCUUUAUUUAUGAUGAAACAUACACGGGAAACCUCUUUUUUAGUAUCAAAUCCCACCCUGGAGGCACUUCCUGUUCCUGAUGCGGCCUUCAGGGAAGGGACGUUGCCGGCUGCACCCUGACUAGGCCCGAGGAAGGCGGACUGUGUGACGUGUCACGGGGGGCGGGGGUGAAGGAUGGUGUGUGGCCCUCAGGAUCCAGCCCUCCCAUGGACAGCUCCUUGGAAGGGAAGCCACGUUUGGAGAAGGGCUCAUGUUUCUGUGGUGGAGGGAGAUUAUUCAUUGCAGUUUUCAUCCAUUUGAUGACUCAGGCUGGGCGGUGGCUCUUCAGCUGUGGGGUCCUGCUCGGAUGGCUUUCUGGACACACUGGCAGCGUCACUGAAGGGACUGUAAUGCCAACCACUCUCCAGGGUAGCUGAGGGGAUGGUAGACCGGUGACGUGCACUUCAUUUAUGAUGUAGGUCACCCGUUUGACUAUCCACCAGCACCCAGUCCAUCUGUGGGAUGACAUCUUGGUGCACAUGGCAACUUUGGAGAAGAUUAGGAGGAUUUGGGGCCAGUGUGAAUCCACAGUAUUUCAAGAGUGGUCGCCCUUUUGGGGGCUCCCCCUUCUACCUUUUAAAAAUAAGUAUAAGCAAUCAUUAGUGAAUACUCUCUCUUUGUGUCAAAUCCUGCCCUGGAGGACUGUUAGCCUGACCACAGAAAAUGUCACGGAAGAGGGCUUGGUAUCGGUGCCCCCCCCGCCCAGGGGAAGGCCCACCCCAUAGCAUGUGUUGAAUGUAGGAUGUUUGUAUUACCUGGUUCAGGGGUCCAAUCUAUUUUGGGGAGGGUAUAGGGUGGGGUGUGCAAUGUUGGGAGCGCCUGUGGUUGUGAUGUCAACUCCGUUCUGUGGUAUCUGACAAGAGCCUGUCUAAUGAGCUUGCCGUGUAUGUGAUGAAUGUUACAUGGUGCAUCUCUUUUCACUAGUAAAUACCACACUGGAGGAUUUCCUGGAGGUGAAGCCAGAUUCCAGGCAGGGCUAUCGGUGUCCAAACCACUACUGGUGAGCGAAUGGGCGGGGGACAGAGGAGCUCGCAGUGUGGCUUUGAUCCCCUUGUGGGUCAUUACCACUUAGAAGCCAGCUUCUUCCUGGGUGGAUUUCAAGUCCAUCAUCAUUACUUAGGCAAAGAGGCUUUGUUGUCGUCACGCAUCUCUGUGUCUGUUGUCCAGCUUUGUCUGACUUGUGAGGAUCCAAAGAGAUGGGAUGCUUUUCAGUGUCAGAUCCUGCCUAAGAUGCAUUCUGGAUGUGACAGCAACUUCAGAGAAGAGACGUUGGCGUCAUCAUCAAUGAAGGAUGACUUCUGGGGGUGAAGGUGGGACAUGACAUCGCUCACCCACCUCUUGGGCUAGCUGGCACAUCGUCCUCACAGCGAUGGCAAGACCACAAGAAAGGAAGGGCCGUUGGUGUGAGCCCCUCUCUGGGAGACCUGAAGGAUGGUGGAGUUCAGAGCGUCUUCCCUGACUCGUUCACCCUCGGUGUCCUUCUCUUCCUGGGAGGACUUCCUGGAAGUGACGCUGACUUUGGGGACGGUAUCUCCUUGCCCUUGCCCUUUGGCUCUCUGCGAUGGGUUUGCUGUAUUUGGCACAAGUCAUGCUGAACUGUUGGUGUUUUAGAACCAAACCGUGCCUCCAAGGAACCAGGAGUGUCCUUAGGAGGGGAUACUGGAGUCAGAACCAUGCAAGCGACACGCACGGAGGGGUCCCCAGAGAGCUGAUGCUGCACUGGGCUUGUCUCCCCUAAUUCUACAUCCUCGGUUUCCUGUCUCUCAAGACGCCUUACAGGAACCACUGACUCACAGAGAGGAUUUUAUUUAAGGCCCAGGACCAUCCUGUUUCCUCUGAAAUGAUGCUCUCCAUGAACAUUUGUGGAGUUGACAGUAAACAUUCCGGAACCCGUCUGCGCUGAUUAUUGAAUUCUGCCCAUGAAGACUUCCUGGGGUCCUGAAGCAGCAGCAGUCUGGAACUGGUUUGCUUCAUCCAUGAUGGCGACCACACAACCCAUCCCUGCUCAGGGUCAGCCUCGCCGUGCCGGGCUGCAGGCAGGGAGCGGCCAUCCCCGUUGUGUUCAGCGCAUGUGUAACGGACGGUGUUUGCCCGGCCAUGCCCCCACGCCCUAACCCCCAGUGUCCCUUCACACCCAGGUGGCCUGCUGGAGGUGAGCAAGUACAGACGCCUGCCCGGCGGUGCUAAUCUCUGG
Long non-coding RNA from Diceros bicornis minor, 2466 nucleotides. RefSeq lists it as uncharacterized. The transcript has 3 exons. Lineage: Eukaryota; Metazoa; Chordata; Mammalia; Perissodactyla; Rhinocerotidae. The record is from RefSeq and is a predicted model, not a curated record.